RNAcentral lists this long non-coding RNA (460 nucleotides) under Coffea arabica (coffee). Its description in RNAcentral is "long non-coding RNA (CARA_LNC000249)". The record is from RNAcentral. Lineage: Eukaryota; Viridiplantae; Streptophyta; Magnoliopsida; Gentianales; Rubiaceae.
UGGCUAUAAUUGGUAAAAAAUGUUUUUAAGUGGUUAAAUGAGGUUUUUAUCACUUUUUACUUGGAUUUUGUGUAUUUUGACAGUUUUGACACAUUUUCGUAUUUCGGCUAUAACUUGAGCUACAGUGAUCGGAUUAAGAUGAUUCUUGAACCAAUUUGAAGAUAAGAGAUAGAUCUACAACUUUGGUGAAGACAUCUAAAUCCAGUUUGAAGGUUUUCCAGGUCAAAAUGCCGAAUUACAAUAGCAAAUUUCUACUGGUCGAAACUGGAACAGGGCAAUGAGCAGGUAAGGGUAUUUCGGUCAUUUCUCAGCCUACACAGAUCCAAAUGAGGUGAUUCUUGAUGCAUUGGAAAGCUAACGCAAAGGGCUACAAGUUUUAUGUUUUGGUCAAGAGCUAAAUCAGCUUUUAUCAUCAAGAAAAGUUUAGUUGAAGUUGAGUCAAAAUCGGAGCAGAGCUGGA